This 524-nucleotide ribosomal RNA is filed under the name uncultured bacterium. RNAcentral's name for it is "bacterial SSU rRNA". It matches the Rfam family "Bacterial small subunit ribosomal RNA", at positions 29 to 526 of the family's 1533-position model. The record is from RNAcentral.
AGCGAACGUUAGCGGCGGGCCUAACACAUGCAAGUCGCACGAGAAUGAGGGGGCAACUCCUCUAGUAAAGUGGCGGACGGGUGCGUAACACGUGGGUAAUCUACCUUCCAGCGGGGGACAACCGUCCGAAAGGAUGGCUAAUACCGCGUACGUCGGCGAGGACUCCGGUUCUUGUCGGGAAAGACGGCCUCUCCUUGGAAGCUGUCACUGGAAGAUGAGCUCGCGGCCCAUCAGCUAGUUGGUGAGGUAACGGCUCACCAAGGCUAAGACGGGUAGCUGGUCUGAGAGGAUGAUCAGCCACACUGGAACUGCGACACGGUCCAGACUCCUACGGGAGGCAGCAGUGGGGAAUAUUGGGCAAUGGGCGAAAGCCUGACCCAGCCACGCCGCGUGAGUGAUGAAGGCCUUCGGGUCGUAAAGCUCUGUGGGGAGGGACGAACAAGGUGCGUGCCAAUACCACGUGCCCCUGACGGUACCUCCUUAGCAAGCACCGGCUAACCCUGUGCCAGCAGCCGCGGUAAUAC